UUUUUUUGAGGACUGUAGGUCUAAAAGUUAAGAGUUCCCACUUGGUCACUGUGUCUAGCUAGAGACCAACUACACCUCGCUGACAGGGCCCACGAAAUGUGUCUAGGGGCAGUCUCAGUAGUAGUAGUUUGGCAGCUGUGAAUGCAGAUUCAGCACAAGGAAACAAACAGACACCCAAGCAGAAGAAGAAACACUGAACUGAGUAGGAAAUGGCAUGCCCCGUAUGACCAAACCCACCUGACUCUGGCACAGCCACAAAGAACAUGCCUACCUUUACCUAUAUGCGCCACGGCUCCUUAAAGGAAACAGGAAAAGGAGGAUGAGCUCCGACGCACUCAGCGCUGGAACAGUCAGUCAGAUGCCUGGGCUGAGUUUUGCAGCUGUGCUGUUGACAGAAUGAGAGAAGCACAACCAGAGCACGAGGUUAUACAGACAAUAAUCUGCACGUGGAAUGCCCUUUCUGUCUACAAACUGCGUUGUUUACUGUUGGGAUCCAAAAAUAGCAGUCUCACCAUACUGGAAUCUGAAUGGUCACGGAUGUUGUCCAUGAGAGUAAAUAGGACAUUUAGUAAAAUUAUCUGUGGGCAGUAAGUGGGAACUUUAUGUAAUAUGUCAGAGAGCCAACCAUUUUUGCAUUUAAAAUAACUAAAAACAGUAAUGGAUUUUUAGAUUUAU
Spea bombifrons (plains spadefoot toad) is the source of this 675-nucleotide long non-coding RNA. RefSeq lists it as uncharacterized. The transcript has 3 exons. Lineage: Eukaryota; Metazoa; Chordata; Amphibia; Anura; Pelobatidae. The record is from RefSeq and is a predicted model, not a curated record.